GUGCCAGCAGCCGCGGUAAUACGUAGGGUGCAAGCGUUAAUCGGAAUUACUGGGCGUAAAGCGUGCGCAGGCGGUGAUGUAAGACAGUUGUGAAAUCCCCGGGCUCAACCUGGGAACUGCAUCUGUGACUGCAUCGCUGGAGUACGGCAGAGGGGGAUGGAAUUCCGCGUGUAGCAGUGAAAUGCGUAGAUAUGCGGAGGACACCGAUGGCGAAGGCAAUCCCCUGGGCCUGUACUGACGCUCAUGCACGAAGGCGUGGGGAGCAAACAGGAUUAG
This 276-nucleotide ribosomal RNA is filed under the name uncultured Burkholderiales bacterium. RNAcentral's name for it is "partial 16S ribosomal RNA". It matches the Rfam family "Bacterial small subunit ribosomal RNA", at positions 505 to 781 of the family's 1533-position model. The record is from RNAcentral. Lineage: Bacteria; Pseudomonadati; Pseudomonadota; Betaproteobacteria; Burkholderiales.